GACGAACGCUGGCGGCGUGCCUAAUACAUGCAAGUCGAACGCAUUUUCUUUCACCGUAGCUUGCUACACCGAAAGAAAAUGAGUGGCGAACGGGUGAGUAACACGUGGGUAACCUGCCCAUCAGCGGGGGAUAACACUUGGAAACAGGUGCUAAUACCGCAUAAUUCCAUUUACUGCAUGGUAGAUGGAUGAAAGGCGCUUUUGCGUCACUGAUGGAUGGACCCGCGGUGCAUUAGCUAGUUGGUGGGGUAACGGCCUACCAAGGCUGCGAUGCAUAGCCGACCUGAGGGGGUGAUAGGCCACACUGGGAACGAGACACGGCCCAGACUCCUACGGGAGGCAGCAGUAGGGAAUCUUCGGCAAUGGACGCAAGUCUGACCGAGCAACGCCGCGUGAGUGAAGAAGGUUUUCGGAUCGUAAAACUCUGUUGUUAGAAAAGAACAAGGAUGAGAGUGGAAAGUUCAUCCCUUGACGGUAUCUAACCAGAAAGCCACGGCUAACUACGUG
This 507-nucleotide ribosomal RNA is filed under the name uncultured bacterium. Its description in RNAcentral is "partial 16S ribosomal RNA". It matches the Rfam family "Bacterial small subunit ribosomal RNA", at positions 28 to 507 of the family's 1533-position model. The record is from RNAcentral.